Molecule: RNA transcript, 1488 nt
Organism: Carlito syrichta (Philippine tarsier)
Lineage: Eukaryota; Metazoa; Chordata; Mammalia; Primates; Tarsiidae
Gene name: NADH dehydrogenase [ubiquinone] 1 alpha subcomplex subunit 9, mitochondrial-like
Exons: 12
Source: RefSeq, a predicted model, not a curated record
GAGAAGAUGGCGGCCGCCGUUCGCCCGCGGGUCGUCCGGGCUCUGCCAAUGUCGCGUUCUACUAUCACUGCAAUCGCCACAUGUGUGUUUCAUGGCUCACCCUGUCGCCACCUUCAUCAUGCUCUCAUACCUCAUGGAAAGGUGGGCAUUCCUCCGUCAGUGGAUUUGUGGCCACUGUGUUUGAAGCAACUGGAUUCCUGGGCCACUGUGUGGUCAACCACCUUGGACGUAUGGGGUCACAGGUGAUAAUACCCUAUCGCUGUGACACAUAUGACAUCAUGCAUCUUCGUCCCAUGGGUGACCUGGGUCAACUUAUCUUUCUGAAGCUUAACCCUUUCCAAGUUCAUUAUGACUUAUCCAACAACAAUGUGAUCAUCAAUUUUGUUGUACGAGACUGGGAAACCAAAAACUUUGAUUUUGAGGAUGUUUUUGUGAAGAUUCCCCAAGCAAUUGCUCAAGUGUCCAAGGAAGCUGGAGUAGAAAAAUUCAUUCAUAUUUCACAUCUGAAUGCUGAUAUUAAAAGUUCUUCUAGAUAUUUGAGACAUAAGGCUGUUAGAGAGAAAGUAGUGAGAGACGCCUUUCCAGAAGCAACUAUCAUAAAACCAUUAGACAUCUUUGGAAGAGAGGGUAGAAUUCUCAAUCAUUUUGCAAGUACGUAUUCUUUCUUAAUAGAAGAAGAGAGGGAUACUAAUAAACAAAAAAUUUAUGUUGUAGAUGUAUCCAAAGGAAUUGUUAAUGUGGUUAAGGAUCCAGAUGCCAAAUGGAAAACAUUUGCGUUUGUUGGGCCAAACUAGUGCCUCCUCUUUGACCUGGUCAGUACAUCUUUGCUUGGCUCACAGGCCCUUCCUUGCAUACCCUUUGCCACGUUUUGCCUAUUGGUUGGUAGCAAGACUGUUUGAAAUUAGCCCGUUUGAGCCCUGGACAACGAGGGAUAAAGUGGAGCAGAUUCACAUCCCAGACAAGACAUUGCCUCACCUGCCCGGCUUAGAAGACCUUGGCGUUCAGGCAACCCCACUGGAGCUCAAGGCCAUCGAGGUGCUGCGGCGUCACCGCACAUACCGCUGGCUGUCUGCCGAAAUCGAGGAUGUGAAGCCGGCCAAGACGGUCAACGUUUAGUCGAGCAGCCCUUGGGUCUUGGUGUUGUUUGGGUCUCCUCGCUAGUGACCGGCCUACAUUCUUUAGAGAACCCUGUACACAGCAAAUAAGGUUCCUCUAGUAAAAGAUCUGAGGUUGAAUUCUGCAGUAUUUCCUUUCUUGAUUUAUAAAAGGAGAAAUUUAAUCAUUGAGAACUUCAGCGUAAUUUUCUUUAGAUACGAGUUUAAUGACAUUUAUUGUUUAUUUUCUGAAAUGCCAGAGGGUUUGAAUUUCCCUACGUCAGGCUACUUCUAGCAUAUGUCCUAGCAGACAGGGAUCCCUUUUUAAUGUCUAAUUAUUGUGAAGACCCAAGUGUUGUGUCUAAAUCUCCAUUAAAUGAGAAAAUAUACAGUG